This 251-nucleotide non-coding RNA is filed under the name Angiostrongylus costaricensis. Its description in RNAcentral is "Eukaryotic small subunit ribosomal RNA". It matches the Rfam family "Eukaryotic small subunit ribosomal RNA", at positions 112 to 385 of the family's 1831-position model. Lineage: Eukaryota; Metazoa; Nematoda; Chromadorea; Rhabditida; Metastrongylidae. The record is from Rfam by way of RNAcentral.
AAAGUAACUUAACGGGUUUCUUCUUUCGUGGCUAUGGAGCUAAUACAUGCGGUUAAACCCUGACUUUCGAAAGAGUGCAAUUAUUAGAGCAAAUCAAUCAUUUUCGGAUGUAGUUUGCUGACUCUGAAUAACGCAGCGUAUCGGUGGCUUGUUCGCCAAUAAUCUGAAAAGUGUCUGCCCUAUCAACCUGACGGUAGUCUAUUAGUCUACCAUGGUUACUAUGGGUAACAGAGAAUAAGGAUUCGACUCCG